Long non-coding RNA from Homo sapiens (human), 1692 nucleotides. Ensembl annotates it as small nucleolar RNA host gene 17. Its record names the gene SNHG17. NCBI's taxonomy places the organism in Eukaryota, Metazoa, Chordata, Mammalia, Primates, Hominidae. The record is from Ensembl.
UUUUUUUUUUUUUUUUUUUUUUGAGGCAGGGUCUCAUUCUGUCACCCAGGCUGGAGUGCAGUGGUGCAAUGAUGGCUCACUGCAGCCUCGACCUGGGCUCAAGUGAUCCUCCACCUCAGCUUCCUGAGUAGCUGGGACCACAGAGUCAUGUGCUGUUCCUGGGGCUUGGAUGAUGUAGGGGAAGCAAGGUGAAAGUGGUAUCCCGUGGUUCCACGUUCUGUCCUGCUGUGGGGCUGUCCCUCACAUGCUUUCAGUGGCUGUUGCAGAGGAAGAGCCUCCGGAAAUCUGCGUGGGUAAAGUGAGCUCCCCGGGGGAACCGUCCUCCUCCCUUGAGCGCUGGUGUGUCCAUAGUGUGCUGUGAUCUGGAUUAGCAGUGAGUUUUUCUUUCAGGGUGUGUGUGUAUGAUGUUAGGACCAUAUGCUCCUGACCUUUUCCAACCCAAAAGCGUUUCCAUUUUUUUAAUGCUGGAAGUGUCUUAACUCCUUUUGGGGUCUUAGAAGGACACACGGUGGCCGUGGCUGGGCCUCUGCUCAGCUGGGCUGCUCUCCCUGCCUCAGGCCCUUGACACCAGCCUCCCUCCCUUGCUGGCUCUCUUUCUGUCCUUCCCUGCUCUUGUAUCCAAAAGUGAUCAUGGGUUGCCUGUGUCCCGAUCAUUAACAGUGCAGGGGUAGGAGUGCUGAAAGACAUCUUCCCUGCGUUGGUCCAGCCUUCCCUUUCAAACCCUGGAGCUUUCCCACGCUGCAGCCUUUUUCCAACUAGGCUUUCAGAGCUUGGGCCUUUGUGGGCCCAUGUGAUGUGGUGACUAGACCCACCCCCUGACUUCUGAGGGUUCAUUUUGUCUUUUCAUGUUAGGGAUCCUCCUGCCAGAAACCAGUCUGCAUUUCUCUCUGGGCCCCACGCUGGAAUGAAUUCAGAUAGCAGUGAAGGGCACACGUGAGAACUGCGAAUCACGGGCUUUGCUUCAUGAAAUGUGAAAUCCACAUUGUUUCCACAGGCACCAUCAGUAAUGUCGAACAAAUGGAGAAAGUUGCAGGUGGGGCUAGGAAAGCUGUAUUCCUGUGGAUUACUCUAGCUGGUCAUUUGCCCCGAUUGUGAACUGCUUGAAAGAAAAACGAAACUUCUAAGAUGUUUGUCCUUUCAUGUCCUUUCUGUUGGGAUUUUUUAUUUGGUGUGCGUGAAUGAGGAGCUUCGCCCUGCUUGAAUGGGACCCCUCUCAGUGGUGUCAGCUUGGGGAGGAGGAGAUGGCCCUGGAGACUAAAUACUUGUAUGCUUUCUUACCCUCUUAGGUCUCAGCCUUAGAUCCAAGGACAGUCCAAGGAAGUCCUAAGACCAUGGAGUUGGUGAUCUGGGAUCUGGGUUUGCUGAUAUUUCUCACCGUGAAUCUCUUGGUGGUGUUUGUGGGCACGAGAGGGGCAGAGAAUGGAGAGUGAGGCUACCACAUGAAGCGUCACCAGAGCUGCUCCCUGCUGCCUGCUCAGAGCACCCCGGAUCCACUGUUCAAUCUGCACAAGAUUCGGGGUCCAGACAUGGGAGACUUCAGCUGCCUCAGAGGACCGUGGACAGGGAAGGCCAGCCUCGCAUCCCUCUGUCCAUGCCUGGAAUGACUUUAAUAACCAAGAGUUUUAUUUUUGAAUUUGUAGCUGUCGUUCACUUUUUACCCACCCAUUCAAUAAACCUUACAGAAUUGCUCCA